CCUACNGGUUGCAGCAGUAGGGAAUCUUCCGCAAUGGACGAAAGUCUGACGGAGCAACGCCGCGUGAGUGAUGAAGGCUUUCGGGUCGUAAAACUCUGUUGUUAGGGANGAACAAGCGCUANUUGAAUAAGCUGGCACCUUGACGGUACCUAGCCAGAAAGCCACGGCUAACUACGUGCCAGCAGCCGCGGUAAUACGUAGGUGGCAAGCGUUAUCCGGAAUUAUUGGGCGUAAAGCGCGCGCAGGUGGUUUCUUAAGUCUGAUGUGAAAGCCCACGGCUCAACCGUGGAGGGUCAUUGGAAACUGGGAGACUUGAGUGCAGAAGAGGAAAGUGGAAUUCCAUGUGUAGCGGUGAAAUGCGUAGAGAUAUGGAGGAACACCAGUGGCGAAGGCGACUUUCUGGUCUGUAACUGACACUGAGGCGCGAAAGCGUGGGGAGCAGACAGGAUUAGAUACCCGCGUAGUC
RNAcentral lists this ribosomal RNA (466 nucleotides) under uncultured bacterium. Its description in RNAcentral is "bacterial SSU rRNA". It matches the Rfam family "Bacterial small subunit ribosomal RNA", at positions 338 to 795 of the family's 1533-position model. The record is from RNAcentral.